This 513-nucleotide ribosomal RNA is filed under the name uncultured bacterium. RNAcentral describes it as "partial 16S ribosomal RNA". It matches the Rfam family "Bacterial small subunit ribosomal RNA", at positions 28 to 507 of the family's 1533-position model. The record is from RNAcentral.
GACGAACGCUGGCGGCGUGCUUAACACAUGCAAGUCGAACGAAAAGAGGGAAAGAGCUUGCUCUUUCCGGAAUUGAGUGGCAAACGGGUGAGUAACACGUACUCAACCUGCCUUCAGGAUGGGGACAACAGACGGAAACGACUGCUAAUACCGAACACGUUCCACGGGCCGCAUGGCGCAUGGAAGCAACGGUGGGCUCUACCUGUACGCCAUCUCCUGAAGAGGGGUUUGCGGCGGAUUAGCUGGGUGGUGGGGUAACGGCGCACCAAGGCGACGAACAGUAGCCGGUCGGAGAGGAUGAGCGGCCAGACUGGAACGGAGACAGGCUCCAGACGCCUACGGGAGGCAGCAGUGGGGAAUCGUCCGGAAGGGGCGAGAGCCUGACCGAGAAACGCCGCGUGCGGGAGGAGGGCCGUCGGGUUGUAAAUCUCGGUGAUCCGGGACGAAAAGGCAGAGUGCGAAGAACAAGCUGGAUUGACGGUACCGGAUAAGGAAGCCACGGCUAACUACGUG